GACGAACGCUGGCGGCGUGCCUAAUACAUGCAAGUCGAGCGGACGAAUCGAAAGCUUGCUUUUGAUUCGUUAGCGGCGGACGGGUGAGUAACACGUGGGCAACCUGCCCUGUAGACGGGGAUAACACCGAGAAAUCGGUGCUAAUACCGGAUAACACGAAAUGUCGCAUGACGUUUCGUUGAAAGACGGCGCAAGCUGUCGCUACAGGAUGGGCCCGCGGCGCAUUAGCUAGUUGGUGAGGUAACGGCUCACCAAGGCGACGAUGCGUAGCCGACCUGAGAGGGUGAUCGGCCACACGGGGACUGAGACACGGCCCAGACUCCUACGGGAGGCAGCAGUAGGGAAUCUUCCGCAAUGGACGAAAGUCUGACGGAGCAACGCCGCGUGAGCGAAGAAGGCCUUCGGGUCGUAAAGCUCUGUUGUUAGGGAAGAACAAGUAACGCAGUAACUGGCGUUACCGUGACGGUACCUAACGAGAAAGCCACGGCUAACUACGUG
Molecule: ribosomal RNA, 498 nt
Filed under: uncultured bacterium
Lineage: Bacteria
Description: partial 16S ribosomal RNA
Rfam family: Bacterial small subunit ribosomal RNA
Source: RNAcentral